Molecule: ribosomal RNA, 492 nt
Filed under: uncultured bacterium
Lineage: Bacteria
Description: partial 16S ribosomal RNA
Rfam family: Bacterial small subunit ribosomal RNA
Source: RNAcentral
AGUGAACGCUGGCGGUAGGCCUAACACAUGCAAGUCGAACGGCAGCACAGUAAGAGCUUGCUCUUACGGGUGGCGAGUGGCGGACGGGUGAGGAAUACAUCGGACUCUACUUUUUCGUGGGGGAUAACGUAGGGAAACUUACGAUAAUACCGCAUACGACCUACGGGUGAAAGCAGGGGAUCUUCGGACCUUGCGCGAUUGAAUGAGCCGAUGUCGGAUUAGCUAGUUGGCGGGGUAAAGGCCCACCCAGGCGACGAUCCGUAGCUGGUCUGAGAGGAUGAUCGGCGACACUGGAGGUUAGACACGGUCCAGACUCCUACGGGAGGCAGCAGAGGGGAAUAGUGGGCAAUAGGGGCAAGCCUUAUCCAGCCAGACCGCGUGGGUGAAGAAGGCCUUCGGGUUGUAAAGCCCGUUUGUUGGGAAAGAAAAGCAGCAGGUUAAUACCCCGCUGUUCUGACGGUACCCAAAGAAUAAGCACCGGCUAACUUCGUG